This 323-nucleotide ribosomal RNA is filed under the name uncultured eukaryote. RNAcentral's name for it is "partial 18S ribosomal RNA". It matches the Rfam family "Eukaryotic small subunit ribosomal RNA", at positions 1470 to 1796 of the family's 1831-position model. The record is from RNAcentral.
CCCUUAGAUGUUCUGGGCUGCACGCGUGCUACACUGAUAUUGCCAAUAUGUCAUUCUUACCCGAAAUGGAUUGGGUAAUCAAGUAAUGAAAUUUCAUGCUUGGAAUCGGUAAUUGCAAUUUUAUCGUGAACGAGGAAUUCCUAGUAAGCACUAGUCAUCAGCUAAUGUUGAUUAUGUCCCUGCCCUUUGUACACACCGCCCGUCGCUACUACUGAUUGGGUGUUCAAGUGAGAUGCUUAGACCCUUGUUGCAUGGUUCAUUAUUGUGCUCCGAAAGGAAAAAGUUUCAAGCUUGAGUGUCUAGAGGAAGUAAAAGUCGUAACA